Molecule: long non-coding RNA, 423 nt
Organism: Pogoniulus pusillus (Red-fronted tinkerbird)
Lineage: Eukaryota; Metazoa; Chordata; Aves; Piciformes; Lybiidae
Exons: 3
Source: RefSeq, a predicted model, not a curated record
CUCUCCCCAUCAGCCUUUUCUCCAGGUUCUGUGUUGACCUGGCAAAUAUUUCCAGCUGUAAGGAGAUGAAAAGGAGAAGCCUGUCAGCCUGCAGGAGCUACAGAAUGAGCUAUCAAAACCAAGUCCUGCAAGCCGUGCCUAACAAACUUGUUGGCUUUUGAUGAUGAAGUCACAGCAACAGUGGACAAAGGAAGGGCAACUGACGUCAUCUACCUGGACCCGAGUGAGGCAUCUGACUCUGUCCCACAUGGCAUCCUGGUCACCAAACUGGAAAACACAUGGACUUGAUGGGUGGAGCACUGCUGGUAUAAGGGUUUCACUAGGAUGGUCUUCACAUCACUUGAGCCAGGAGAAGAAAUGCAGAAGAAAUUUCAUCUCAGCUAGAGAUCCAGAUGGCUUUCAGCACCCAUCAAGAGCAAAUAA